RNAcentral lists this ribosomal RNA (384 nucleotides) under Tenacibaculum finnmarkense. Its description in RNAcentral is "partial 16S ribosomal RNA". It matches the Rfam family "Bacterial small subunit ribosomal RNA", at positions 1 to 381 of the family's 1533-position model. The record is from RNAcentral. Lineage: Bacteria; Pseudomonadati; Bacteroidota; Flavobacteriia; Flavobacteriales; Flavobacteriaceae. RNAcentral also lists the same sequence under 1 other name.
UAUACAAUGAAGAGUUUGAUCCUGGCUCAGGAUGAACGCUAGCGGCAGGCUUAACACAUGCAAGUCGAGGGGUAACAUUGUGCUUGCACAGAUGACGACCGGCGAACGGGUGCGUAACGCGUAUAGAAUCUGCCUUGUACAGGAGGAUAGCCUUUAGAAAUGAAGAUUAACACUCCAUAAUGUAGUGAUUCGGCAUCGAAACACUAUUAAACAUUUAUGGGUACAAGAUGACUAUGCGUCCUAUUAGCUAGAUGGUGAGGUAACGGCUUACCAUGGCGACGAUAGGUAGGGGGUCUGAGAGGAUUAUCCCCCACACUGGUACUGAGACACGGACCAGACUCCUACGGGAGGCAGCAGUGAGGAAUAUUGGUCAAUGGAGGCAAC